RNAcentral lists this long non-coding RNA (400 nucleotides) under Vigna radiata. RNAcentral describes it as "long non-coding RNA (VRAD_LNC011186)". The record is from RNAcentral. Lineage: Eukaryota; Viridiplantae; Streptophyta; Magnoliopsida; Fabales; Fabaceae.
UGCCCAAGCUUCCCUUCAUAUCAGAUCAGCCACUGAUGACUCUCCGGUGAAUUUUCUCUUCUCAGAUUCCUCAAUUUCAAUAUAAAGUUUUCAUUUUUUUUUCUCUUGUCUUUAUUUUUCUUCCCAAUGUCUUUUUUACUUGUUUUUUAGUGGUUGCUGGUUUUUUUUUUUAAUGAAGUAUUGGCGUUAGAAAGAGAUCAGGGUAUCAGGUUGAUAAUUGGGUGUUCAAACUACUACCAUUUAUGGAUUAGAUUCUGAAGCAAAUGGGCGAUCUAGUAUUUUUGUCCUUUUCUGUGGUUCAAUGGAUAAACCACCAAAUUCAUCCCAAAAAGGUUUCUCCUUUCUCUCUCUUUCUCCCCUUCGUCAAUGCCUUCUGGAAUGGGGAUAGGGGUAAGUUACC